AUUGAACGCUGGCGGCAUGCUUUACACAUGCAAGUCGAACGGUAACAGGCCGCAAGGUGCUGACGAGUGGCGAACAGGUGAGUAAUGCAUCGGAACGUGCCCAGUCGUGGGGGAUAACGCAGCGAAAGCUGUGCUAAUACCGCAUACGAUCUAUGGAUGAAAGCGGGGGACCGUAAGGCCUCGCGCGAUUGGAGCGGCCGAUGUCAGAUUAGGUAGUUGGUGGGGUAAAGGCUCACCAAGCCAACGAUCUGUAGCUGGUCUGAGAGGACGACCAGCCACACUGGGACUGAGACACGGCCCAGACUCCUACGGGAGGCAGCAGUGGGGAAUUUUGGACAAUGGGCGCAAGCCUGAUCCAGCAAUGCCGCGUGCAGGAAGAAGGCCUUCGGGUUGUAAACUGCUUUUGUACGGAACGAAAAGGUUUGGGUUAAUACCCUGGGCUAAUGACGGUACCGUAAGAAUAAGCACCGGCUAACUACGUGACAGCCGCCGCCGUAA
RNAcentral lists this ribosomal RNA (498 nucleotides) under uncultured bacterium. Its description in RNAcentral is "partial 16S ribosomal RNA". It matches the Rfam family "Bacterial small subunit ribosomal RNA", at positions 30 to 523 of the family's 1533-position model. The record is from RNAcentral.